RNAcentral lists this ribosomal RNA (510 nucleotides) under uncultured bacterium. Its description in RNAcentral is "partial 16S ribosomal RNA". It matches the Rfam family "Bacterial small subunit ribosomal RNA", at positions 28 to 507 of the family's 1533-position model. The record is from RNAcentral.
GACGAGCGCUGGCGGCGUGCUUAACACAUGCAAGUCGAACGAAGAGCGAUGGAAGCUUGCUUCUAUCAAUCUUAGUGGCGCACGGGUGAGUAACGCGUAAUCAACCUGCCCUUCAGAGGGGGACAACAGUUGGAAACGACUGCUAAUACCGCAUACGAUCUGACCUCGGCAUCGAGGAUAGAUGAAAGGUGGCCUCUACAUGUAAGCUAUCACUGAAGGAGGGGAUUGCGUCUGAUUAGCUAGUUGGAGGGGUAACGGCCCACCAAGGCGAUGAUCAGUAGCCGGACUGAGAGGAUGAACGGCCAAAAUGGGACUGGGACACGGCCCAGACUCCUACGGGAAGCAGCAGUGGGGAAUCUUCCGCAAUGGACGAAAGUCUGACGGGGCAACGCCGCGGGAGUGAUGACGGCCUUCGGGUUGUAAAGCUCUGUUAAUCGGGACGAAAGGCCUUUUUGCGAAUAGUGAGAAGGAUUGACGGUACCGGAAUAGAAAGCCACGGCUAACUACGUG